AGAUGCGAUAAUACCAGCACUAAAGCACCGGAUCCCAUCAGAACUCCGAAGUUAAGCAUGCUUGGGCGAGAGUAGUACUAGGAUGGGUGACCUCUGAAGUUAAGCGUGCUUGGGCGAGAGUAGUACUAGGAUGGGUGACCUCCUGGGAAGUCCUUGUGUUACAUUCC
Molecule: non-coding RNA, 167 nt
Organism: Triticum aestivum (bread wheat)
Lineage: Eukaryota; Viridiplantae; Streptophyta; Magnoliopsida; Poales; Poaceae
Source: Rfam